This 254-nucleotide ribosomal RNA is filed under the name uncultured bacterium. RNAcentral's name for it is "partial 16S ribosomal RNA". It matches the Rfam family "Bacterial small subunit ribosomal RNA", at positions 524 to 776 of the family's 1533-position model. The record is from RNAcentral.
UACGGAGGUGGCAAGCGUUGUUCGGAAUUACUGGGCGCAAAGGGCUCGUAGGCGGCCAACUAAGUCGGACGUGAAAUCCCUCGGCUUAACCGGGGAACUGCGUCCGAUACUGGAUGGCUUGAGGUUGGGAGAGGGAUGCGGAAUUCCAGGUGUAGCGGUGAAAUGCGUAGAUAUCUGGAGGAACACCGGUGGCGAAGGCGGCAUCCUGGACCAAUUCUGACGCUGAGUGAGCGAAAGCCAGGGGAGCAAACGGG